UGGGGAAUAUUGGACAAUGGGCGCAAGCCUGAUCCAGCCAUGCCGCGUGAGUGAUGAAGGCCCUAGGGUUGUAAAGCUCUUUCACCGGUGAAGAUAAUGACGGUAACCGGAGAAGAAGCCCCGGCUAACUUCGUGCCAGAAGCCGCGGUAAUACGAAGGGGGCUAGCGUUGUUCGGAUUUACUGGGCGUAAAGCGCACGUAGGCGGACUAUUAAGUCAGGGGUGAAAUCCCGGGGCUCAACCCCGGAACUGCCUUUGAUACUGGUAGUCUUGAGUUCGAGAGAGGUGAGUGGAAUUCCGAGUGUAGAGGUGAAAUUCGUAGAUAUUCGGAGGAACACCAGUGGCGAAGGCGGCUCACUGGCUCGAUACUGACGCUGAGGUGCGAAAGCGUGGGGAGCAAACAGG
Molecule: ribosomal RNA, 404 nt
Filed under: Actinomycetes bacterium
Lineage: Bacteria; Bacillati; Actinomycetota; Actinomycetes
Description: Actinobacteria bacterium partial 16S ribosomal RNA
Rfam family: Bacterial small subunit ribosomal RNA
Source: RNAcentral